AAUCUGGGCCAACCGCAAAGAGGCGGGGCCAAAAAGCAGUGGGCUCCCAAAGUUGCCAAAGUUCAAGGAAUUUGCAACAGGUACACAACUUUCCGAGAACAAUGCAAAGCUGAAAUUCGAAAGGCAAAUUUCAAAGUUGCAUUUCUCCGGGAAUUAAAAUAUACCUCCAGUAACGUUACAGACUGUAGUCUCCUCCCCUAAAUUGUUAUCGUCUACGGCAACUAGAAUAUGCCAAAAAGCUCUCGAAACUCUCUGGUUUAUUUUCGAAUUCCAGAAUUCCUGUUCCAUAGAAUAGUGGUUCCCAAACUCGCUCCUGGGCCCCUAGUCGUAUGCUGGUUUUAAGUCCAACCACAAUAGCAAUCCCAGAAUUUUAACAAGAUGUUAAUUUUUCUUUAUUAUGUGACUUUUCUUGUUUAGAAGGUACUCUCUUAAAUCACAUUAUAUCAGAAAUAUGUAUGCAUGUCAUGAAGAAUAACAUUGUUCAUAUUAUGUUAUAAUCAAAUCUGCCUUCUUAAUGUUCAUUUCACGGUACUGCCAUUACCUCUAGCUAUCCAGCCAUGCUACGUGAGGUACUCAGAGUGAGUGGGCAGGUUGAACAGCAGGAGGAGACUUAUUUGAUUAUAAACAAAGGACUACAACAAGUCUAAAAUAUCCUGUAUUGUACGCCUUUAAAUUUGAUCCAUGAUUAAAUAUAAUAAGGAUUUUUCAAAACGAUUUCAAAAACUCUGGAGAUGGCUGAGUGUGCCAAACAGUUUUUGUGAUGAAAGAAAAACCACCACUGUAACCAUAUCCACACCAAGUCUCUUGAAUGUGACCAGUGGUGCGUUUCCUCUGGUAUAUCAGUAGUUUCCCUCUUCUAAUAAGUCCUACACACUAAAGCUGUGCAAUACAGAAAAGGUGUGUUUUGGUUUCUACUGCUGUAUCUAUAAUGCGACCAGGAUGAACUUUUGUCUCCUGAUUGUAGCUGCUGGAGUUUUUUCUACUUAGAUGAAUCCUGUAGCUAGCAGGCACUUUAAUCGCUGCUUAAUGUCACAGUGCUAUGACAUUAAUUUUCAUGUCCAGAUAACUAAUUAUUCCACCCUCACCCUGUCCCACUUCCUCCCUUAUGACCUCCAGUUGUGACAGACAGUGACAUACUGGCAAAACAUACCAAGCCAUUACCUCCAGGAUAGAGGGAUGGAAACAGAGGCUCAUAUGGGGAAAGGUGAUGUUUCUGCUUGCAUCUUAUAGGUAUUCUCAGCAGAAACAGCAGGACAUCAGACUUAACACCUCAUUUCUUAGCACUGAAUGCUGACCCAUGCACUGGCCAGUAAAGGAGAAUCCUAAUUUUAAAGAAUUGUACAUUUAUAUUUGUCAUUCCUCAUUUUGAGCCUCAGAAAGCACAGGUCAGAAUAAAAUACUAUCAAAAUUCA
Anguilla rostrata (American eel) is the source of this 1412-nucleotide long non-coding RNA. RefSeq lists it as uncharacterized. Lineage: Eukaryota; Metazoa; Chordata; Actinopteri; Anguilliformes; Anguillidae. The record is from RefSeq and is a predicted model, not a curated record. The transcript is spliced from 2 exons.